AGGAAAAGCUCGAAAAUCAGCGUAACGCUGUUGGAGAUGAGAGGGCACAGCACAAUUUUGAGAGCCAAACAAAGGCGGGGCACAGAGCUGUUGCCUCGAGAUGUGUGGCCUCAGAAGGUCUUGUCGAGGCGAGUGAUGAAAGGGAGGAGGUUCCCGAGGAUACUGGAGCCGGAAGACGCGGCGAGGGUCCGGGUUAGCAAACCGGGCAGAGUCAGAGGCCCAGGACGCCGGGCCCUGGGGGCGCUGUCGCAGGGCGGCGGCGGAGGCCGGGGUGGUGGGCGCCCCGGGGUGGGGGGAGGCGGGAGUGCUCUCCCAGGUGGGCUUGGAGGGGCCCCGGCCCAGACACCCAGGGCCAGCCGGCGCACCCGCAUGAUGUUCUGAAAGCGUCCCCGCAGCCUGGUCGGUGGCUGGGGGAAGCUGGGCGUGGUUAGCCUGGCAGCCUGGCUUUGCGGACUCACCUCCGGGCCUCGUCCUCCAGUGCCUUCCCUCCCCAACUGAGGGGCUUGGCUGCACCCGCACGCGGUUUUCCAGGAACAGCGAUCCCGGAGUGGACUCUCCCGCAUCCAGGGGGACGUCAGCACUCUCGGCUUCCCCAUGGGGACACACUCACUGAGGUCACGCGACCCAAAACCAAAUGACCCACCACCACGACAGCCGCAUCGUUUUUAGUGGUUUGUCCGGGAGGUUUUAGAGUGAGAGAAUGAAGGGGGUGAGGCCUGAGGGAGGGAGGCGCAUGGAAGCCGCCGCAUCUGACUGUCCCAGGGUGUGCCCAGGCCCAGAGAUGAUGUCCAGACCCCUGAAGGGAGUGAAGCGGAGGCCCUGCUGGAGGCAAAGGAUUCAAGGAGAUUCAAAACCCGUGUCACUGCUGCCAUCUUCCUAGAAUCCCUUUAAAUCCUCAUGGAUUUGCUGACAUUGGGAGCAUCCUGAAAGAGUCCCCAUGCUAGGGUGGCUGCAGUAACAGGUACAAUGAGAAAUGAUGGUUCUCCCCACUCCAGAAAAAAUCAAAUCAGAUUGUGAAUUUAUUCCCUGACAUUAACACACGGCAUUACAGGAGCAUGUACAUCACAUGGUCAAUUUAUUGGCAUGAGGAUUAUGUCAUCGGGGAAUAAAUGGGAAAUUCUCAAGGUGGCCCAGGCCUGUAGGCUUCCAGUGAGAAAACUGGAGACCACACUCACCCGUCCCACUGCCGUUUCUUUGGGGCUGCCUGUGAUACUGGGUUAUUCCCCUUGCCGAGUUCCACUGUGCUUACCCUGUUGGAAUAUGAUGGUGGACUUGCCAGAGGAGAUGACCAUGAUUUUCAGGAACAGCAGCCCCUCCUUCCUGGUUGAGGCAGCCAGCAGGCACUCCUAUCCAUGAGCCACAGCUCAGCUAAGGCAAUCCAGUCCAGCUGCAUGCCCUCUCUCUGCUUCUGGGGAGGUAGGAAGGACCAGGGGCAUUCAUGCUUGUUUCUAGGGGGCCCUAACUGGAUCUCUGGAUCAAGACCUACUCAGGGGAGAAAGACUACUCUGGGUUCCAUGUUAGGACUGACGGGUGCAUCUUAACUGAGAUGCAGACAGUGGACAAUUCGAACUCUGACCUGAGAGCAAGCCCCAGCCUUGGUGCUCAUAAAUGCUCCGCUUGGUCCUUCACAUUUGUGUUCCACACAGGAGAAGCCAAGUUGUGAGCAGUGCACCUUCACAAGCAAAGCCUCGACUGAAAUCUUCUCUAACAAUUGGCUGGUCACUCCUGAGCGUAAUCUACCCCUUCAGAACACUGGGGAUGAAUUUAGAGACAUCGAAGCCUCCUGAUGAGAAAUACGUGUCCACUCACCGGGAGAACUGAAAUACCAGGAGAUUUCUACACAAAUCUCACAGAGUCCUUCUGGCGUCCUAGGGGUUUGCUCACAUAUAAGGGACUUUCUGGUAGGAAGAGAGUCUCUUUACAUUCUUUAUUAUAUGAUCCUGGUGGCUUUGUAGAGAGAUGGUACAGCUGACAGAUCAUGUCCUGUGGGGCCAGGGAGUUGUGUGUGUGUGAAUGCUCUGUGAACUUGGGCAAACUACUUAGCCUCUCUGAGCCUUAGCUGCAUCAGCUUUGAAAAACAGGAUGAUAAAAUGGAGUCACCUUAUUUGACUUUUAUAAAUACACUUACACAAUUACACAAGUUGUGGGGAUGGGAAGAGAGAGUUGGGGAAAGAGAAAUGAGAGAGAGAGAGAGAGAGAAUGAAUGAUAAACAAUUUAAACAACAGUGGGGUGUAGACCAACGCCCAGCCUGGCAAGGGUGAGCCCAGAGAGCCUUCCCUCCUGGCUAUUGGCAGCCUCCGCAUGGAAGCCUGUCGUUGACUUCUUAAUGAUGAGAGAUGUUCUGGGGGCACUCCAGGAUUCUUGGACAUGGGAUCGUCUUCACAGCUGUGUCUAUUGAAAGCUGAAGUUUCAGUCUCCCCUGCCCCCUGCCCCCUGGAGUGGCUUCCCAGGGGAAAUUCAAGGGCACCUGUGACUGCAUGGCUGCUUUCCUUUCCUUUACUCAAUGCCGUCCUUUGGUGACAGCCGUGUCUCAUGCCAGGAUACAUGAGGUGCUCUAUAGUAGUAUGUUUUCCCUCCUGGGAGGUAAUUUUAUUUAAAUGUGAAGUCAAAAGGAUCACUAAAUAGAACCAUGAGGCAACCACUCUGGGCACCUGCCUGGUGAUAUCCACAAGAGCUGACCACAGGUGCCCCCUGUGCCCAGCAAGUCCUUGGCUGGGCAGUCACACAACAGGCAUGGGGAUGUGUGGCCACCAAGCCCUCCAGGGCAGUGCUAUUUGUAAUAGUCCCAAAUGGGAGAGAUGGCAAACGCCCGCCAAUGGGGCAGCAUGGAUAAAUGGAUGCUGCACAGCAACGGCGAUGAGUGAGCCCCAGCACCCGUGAGCUCACCAGUGUAAUAUUGGGUGGAAGAAGCCAGGAGGAAGGGCAUUCACAUUCUGUGAUUCCAGCUACACUAUGUUUAAAUAUGGGCAGAGCUAGGCUGUGGUGCUGGAAGCCAGGACAGUGGGAUCCUUGCAUGGGGGUGAUGGUGCUGGUAGGUUCUGGUAAUUUCCUCUUCUUGAUCUGGGUGUAAACAUUUUGUGAAAAUUCAAUGAGCUGUACAUUUAUGACUGGUACAUUUAUGACUUUGUAUGAAUAUUAUACUUUCAUAAAACUACUUUAAAAUAUGA
Homo sapiens (human) is the source of this 3168-nucleotide long non-coding RNA. The record is from Ensembl. NCBI's taxonomy places the organism in Eukaryota, Metazoa, Chordata, Mammalia, Primates, Hominidae.